CACGGUCCAGACUCCUACGGGAGGCAGCAGUGGGGAAUAUUGCACAAUGGGCGCAAGCCUGAUGCAGCCAUGCCGCGUGUAUGAAGAAGGCCUUCGGGUUGUAAAGUACUUUCAGCGGGGAGGAAGGCGGUGAGGUUAAUAACCUCAUCGAUUGACGUUACCCGCAGAAGAAGCACCGGCUAACUCCGUGCCAGCAGCCGCGGUAAUACGGAGGGUGCAAGCGUUAAUCGGAAU
RNAcentral lists this ribosomal RNA (234 nucleotides) under Escherichia coli. RNAcentral's name for it is "partial 16S ribosomal RNA". It matches the Rfam family "Bacterial small subunit ribosomal RNA", at positions 325 to 551 of the family's 1533-position model. Lineage: Bacteria; Pseudomonadati; Pseudomonadota; Gammaproteobacteria; Enterobacterales; Enterobacteriaceae. The record is from RNAcentral.